This 841-nucleotide ribosomal RNA is filed under the name Bacillus subtilis. Its description in RNAcentral is "bacterial SSU rRNA". It matches the Rfam family "Bacterial small subunit ribosomal RNA", at positions 19 to 841 of the family's 1533-position model. Lineage: Bacteria; Bacillati; Bacillota; Bacilli; Caryophanales; Bacillaceae. The record is from RNAcentral.
CUGGCUCAGGACGAACGCUGGCGGCGUGCCUAAUACAUGCAAGUCGAGCGGACAGAUGGGAGCUUGCUCCCUGAUGUUAGCGGCGGACGGGUGAGUAACACGUGGGUAACCUGCCUGUAAGACUGGGAUAACUCCGGGAAACCGGGGCUAAUACCGGAUGGUUGUUUGAACCGCAUGGUUCAAACAUAAAAGGUGGCUUCGGCUACCACUUACAGAUGGACCCGCGGCGCAUUAGCUAGUUGGUGAGGUAACGGCUCACCAAGGCGACGAUGCGUAGCCGACCUGAGAGGGUGAUCGGCCACACUGGGACUGAGACACGGCCCAGACUCCUACGGGAGGCAGCAGUAGGGAAUCUUCCGCAAUGGACGAAAGUCUGACGGAGCAACGCCGCGUGAGUGAUGAAGGUUUUCGGAUCGUAAAGCUCUGUUGUUAGGGAAGAACAAGUGCCGUUCGAAUAGGGCGGUACCUUGACGGUACCUAACCAGAAAGCCACGGCUAACUACGUGCCAGCAGCCGCGGUAAUACGUAGGUGGCAAGCGUUGUCCGGAAUUAUUGGGCGUAAAGGGCUCGCAGGCGGUUUCUUAAGUCUGAUGUGAAAGCCCCCGGCUCAACCGGGGAGGGUCAUUGGAAACUGGGGAACUUGAGUGCAGAAGAGGAGAGUGGAAUUCCACGUGUAGCGGUGAAAUGCGUAGAGAUGUGGAGGAACACCAGUGGCGAAGGCGACUCUCUGGUCUGUAACUGACGCUGAGGAGCGAAAGCGUGGGGAGCGAACAGGAUUAGAUACCCUGGUAGUCCACGCCGUAAACGAUGAGUGCUAAGUGUUAGGGGGUUUCCGCCCCUU